RNAcentral lists this ribosomal RNA (253 nucleotides) under uncultured bacterium. RNAcentral's name for it is "partial 16S ribosomal RNA". It matches the Rfam family "Bacterial small subunit ribosomal RNA", at positions 524 to 776 of the family's 1533-position model. The record is from RNAcentral.
UACAGAGACUGCAAACGUUAUUCGGAUUCACUGGGCGUAAAGGGUGCGCAGGCGGCCGCGCGUGUGGAAUGUUAAAGCGCGAGGCUCAACCUCGGUGAUGCGUUUCAAACUACGUGGCUAGAGUGUGGGAGAGGGGAAUGGAAUUCACGGUGUAGCAGUGAAAUGCGUAGAUAUCGUGAGGAACACCAGCGGCGAAGGCGAUUCCCUGGACCAUUACUGACGCUCAGGCACGAAAGCGUGGGAAUCAAAAGGG